This 180-nucleotide ribosomal RNA is filed under the name uncultured Bacillus sp. Its description in RNAcentral is "partial 16S ribosomal RNA". It matches the Rfam family "Bacterial small subunit ribosomal RNA", at positions 380 to 552 of the family's 1533-position model. The record is from RNAcentral. Lineage: Bacteria; Bacillati; Bacillota; Bacilli; Caryophanales; Bacillaceae.
AGUCUGACGGAGCAACGCCGCGUGAGUGAUGAAGGUUUUCGGAUNGUAAAACUCUGUUGUUAGGGAAGAACAAGUACCGGAGUAACUGCCGGUACCUUGACGGUACCUAACCAGAAAGCCACGGCUAACUACGUGCCAGCAGCCGCGGUAAUACGUAGGUGGCAAGCGUUGUCCGGAAUU